GUUGUUGCAGUUAGAACGCUCGUAGUCGGAUUUCGGGGCGGGCCGACCGGUCUGCCGAUGGGUAUGUACUGGCCGGCGCGUCCUUCCUUCCGGAGACCGUGCCUACUCUUAACUGAGCGGGGGCGGGAGACGGGACUUUUACUUUGAAAAAAUCAGAGUGUUUCAAGCAGGCAGCUCGCUCUUGCAUGGAUUAGCAUGGGAUAAUAAAAUAGGACUUUGGUGCUAUUUUGUUGGUUUCGAACACCGAAGUAAUGAUGAGAAGGGACAGUCAGGGGCACUCGUAUUUUGCCGAGAGAGGUGAAAUUCUCAGACCAGCGAAAGACGAACCACUGCGAAAGCAUUUGCCAGGGAUGUUUUCACUGAUCAAGAACGAAAGUUAGGGGAUCGAAGACGAUCAGAUACCGUCGUAGUCUUAACCAUAAACCAUGCCGACUAGGGAUUCGACGAUGUUCACUUAUUGACUUGUUGAGCACCUUACGGGAAACUAAAGUCUUUGGGUUCCGGGGGGAGUAUGGUCGCAAGGCUGAAACUUAAAGGAAUUGACGGAAGGGCACCACCAGGUGUGGAGCCUGCGGCUUAAUUUGACUCAACACGGGGAAACUUACCAGGUCCAGACAUUGUGAGGAUUGACAGAUUGAGAGCUCUUUCUUGAUUCGAUGGGUGGUGGUGCAUGGCCGUUCUUAGUUGGUGGAGUGAUUUGUCUGGUUAAUUCCGUUAACGAACGAGACCUUAACCUGCUAAAUAGUGGCGCGAACUUU
Molecule: ribosomal RNA, 758 nt
Filed under: uncultured marine eukaryote
Lineage: Eukaryota
Description: SSU rRNA
Rfam family: Eukaryotic small subunit ribosomal RNA
Source: RNAcentral